GACGAACGCUGGCGGCGUGCUUAACACAUGCAAGUCGAACGGUGAAGCGCCUUCCUUUUUGGUGGGUGUGGAUGAGUGGCGAACGGGUGAGUAACACGUGAGUAACCUGCCCCCUUCUUCUGGAUAACCGCAUGAAAGUGUGGCUAAUACGGGAUAUUCUGGGUCUGUCGCAUGAUGGGUCUGGGAAAGAUAUUGUUUCGGUGGGGGUUGGGCUCGCGGCCUAUCAGCUUGUUGGUGGGGUGAUGGCCUACCAAGGCGGUGACGGGUAGCCGGCCUGAGAGGGUGGACGGUCACACUGGGACUGAGACACGGCCCAGACUCCUACGGGAGGCAGCAGUGGGGAAUAUUGCACAAUGGGCGCAAGCCUGAUGCAGCGACGCCGCGUGAGGGAUGGAGGCCUUCGGGUUGUGAACCUCUUUCGCCAGUAAAGCAGGCCUGCCUCGUUUGUGGGUGGGUUGACGGUAGCUGGAUAAGAAGCGCCGGCUAACUACGUG
Molecule: ribosomal RNA, 494 nt
Filed under: uncultured bacterium
Lineage: Bacteria
Description: partial 16S ribosomal RNA
Rfam family: Bacterial small subunit ribosomal RNA
Source: RNAcentral